AGCGAACGCUGACGGCAUGCCUAACACAUGCAAGUCGAACGAGACCUUCGGGUCUAGUGUCGCACGGGUGCGUAACGCGUUGGAACCUGCCCUUAGGUUCGGACUAACUCCCCGAAAGGGGUGCUAAUACCGGGUAUUGUCUUCGGACCAAAGAUUUAUCGCCUUUGGAUGGGCCCGCGUUGGAUUAGCUAGUUGGUAGGGUAAAAGCCUACCACGGCGACGAUCCAUAGCUGGUCUGAGAGGAUGAUCAGCCACACUGGGACUGAGACACGGCCCAGACUCCUACGGGAGGCAGCAGUGGGGAAUAUUGGACAACGGGCGAAAGGCUGAUCCAGCAAUGCCGCGUGAGUGAUGAAGGCCUGAGGGUUGUAAAGCGCUUUUACACGGGAUGAUAAUGACAGUACCGGGAGAAUAAGCACCGGCUAACUCCGUG
Molecule: ribosomal RNA, 433 nt
Filed under: uncultured bacterium
Lineage: Bacteria
Description: partial 16S ribosomal RNA
Rfam family: Bacterial small subunit ribosomal RNA
Source: RNAcentral